Molecule: long non-coding RNA, 836 nt
Organism: Athalia rosae (coleseed sawfly)
Lineage: Eukaryota; Metazoa; Arthropoda; Insecta; Hymenoptera; Athaliidae
Exons: 3
Source: RefSeq, a predicted model, not a curated record
UCAGUUUUGAUCGAGCAGUAACUCGGGAAGUAGUGUGCCGUUUGAUCUACAUAUUUCGAAAAAGUAUUUGACAAUCGGUAGCUACUGAAAGCCCUAUAUCAUUGGAAAUUUCGUGAAUUCCGUAACUCGGAGAUUUCUCCACAAGCACUGGUUUUCCGUCUUCGAUGAAACGGCAGUUCAGUUUCGGCGACAUCAGGAGCGACGUCAGUGGCAACGCAGGUUCCUCAGAGCGACGAUGGAGAGAGAAAACGAUGACCAUUGCGUGAUGGAACCAAAUCAGGACAUCGCCGAGUCUUCUUGACGAGAUACAUCCCUUCAUCUUCACCCAGUCGAGAUGGAUCUGCAACACAUGAGACGUGCAACUCCUUUUCUGCAGAGGUAUGUUUCAUUUAAUUCAUCUCUUUCGAGGGUCCCUAGUAUGAUCCAACAUUUAGAGUCUUAGUAUAUGAAUUGCACCCCCUUAGAAAAGAUUUUCAAAAUCCUUUUCAUAAAAUCAAAUCACCCAGAAUUACCCAAUGUACUUAUUAUAUUCAAGCACCCCGAUAAUAUAAUUCAUCAGACACGCCAAUAAGGCAAGACAAUAAUUUAUUAUCACAUAACUUGGUACAAUUUAUUAUAAUUCAAACGUCUUAUAUACUUAUAUAUACUGAGGCAUAAAAUAUGUUAUACAUUAGGUUACAUGAUAGGUCAUACAUUACGUCAUGUAUUGCGUUUAGUAAUUAUUUAUUUGUUAUUUAUGUUACAGGUUGCAGUUCCUCCAACGUCAUUGCCCGGACUCCCCCUGUUCAUCAGGGGGAGUCCACUGACCCGUCCCCUGGGACAGCGCGGCCUCCCAC